GGGGCUGAUUGGCUUUCGACAGGAGUGAAGAGGCUUAGGUGCAUGUGAGCUAGCACGCUCUAAAACUGCUACAUUUAUAAACGCAAACAACGCAAAUUACGCUCCAGCCUACGCAAGAGUAGCGUAGGUUUAUCGCUUUUUGGAGCCGACUUUAGUUUUAAUGCUAGCUAGAUUCUAAAGUCGUCAUUUGAGCUAGAUGCUCUCCUUGCACCGCCUUGGGCAGGGAGAAAAGACAAAAGGCUGCUUAUGGAUUAUCUUUGGGGUAUUGAGAUAGCCAUAAAAAGAUGUUAAUGCCUACUAAACAUGUAGAAGCCUAAGAAGCUCUCAUUUUUGGACUGGGGUUCAACUCCCCACAGCUCCACCA
This 364-nucleotide transfer-messenger RNA is filed under the name Helicobacteraceae. RNAcentral describes it as "Helicobacter_C jaachi Standard tmRNA". It matches the Rfam family "transfer-messenger RNA". Rfam says of the family: Bacterial tmRNA, also known as 10Sa RNA or SsrA, is named for its dual tRNA and mRNA-like properties. Its role is to liberate the mRNA from a stalled ribosome. Lineage: Bacteria; Pseudomonadati; Campylobacterota; Epsilonproteobacteria; Campylobacterales. RNAcentral also lists the same sequence under 1 other name. The record is from RNAcentral.